This 497-nucleotide ribosomal RNA is filed under the name uncultured bacterium. RNAcentral describes it as "partial 16S ribosomal RNA". It matches the Rfam family "Bacterial small subunit ribosomal RNA", at positions 28 to 507 of the family's 1533-position model. The record is from RNAcentral.
GAUGAACGCUGGCGGCGUGCCUAAUACAUGCAAGUCGAGCGAACGGACGAGAAGCUUGCUUCUCUGAUGUUAGCGGCGGACGGGUGAGUAACACGUGGAUAACCUACCUAUAAGACUGGGAUAACUUCGGGAAACCGGAGCUAAUACCGGAUAAUAUUUUGAACCGCAUGGUUCAAAAGUGAAAGACGGUCUUGCUGUCACUUAUAGAUGGAUCCGCGCUGCAUUAGCUAGUUGGUAAGGUAACGGCUUACCAAGGCAACGAUGCAUAGCCGACCUGAGAGGGUGAUAGGCCACACUGGAACUGAGACACGGUCCAGAGGCCUACGGGAGGCAGCAGUAGGGAAUCUUCCGCAGUGGGCGAAAGCCUGACGGAGCAACGCCGCGUGAGUGAUGAAGGUCUUCGGAUCGUAAAACUCUGUUAUUAGGGAAGAACAUAUGUGUAAGUAACUGUGCACAUCUUGACGGUACCUAAUCAGAAAGCCACGGCUAACUACGUG